This is a long non-coding RNA of Physella acuta, 672 nucleotides long. RefSeq lists it as uncharacterized. The record is from RefSeq and is a predicted model, not a curated record. NCBI's taxonomy places the organism in Eukaryota, Metazoa, Mollusca, Gastropoda, Physidae.
CCUGAGCCCGAUGAUGUGAUUAAUUAAUAGAUGCGUUAAUUACUUAUGAGCCCGAGCCAUUGCUUCCGCCUAAGCCUAAGCCCCCGAAUCCCAAACCGAUUAUUCCUAAAUCAACAAAACCGAGAAAACCGAGAAAAGCAAUAUGCUGGAGUGAGAAAUUUUACGGGGAAGGCAAACGUAAAACCAUGAACUGGUUCAUCUUCCUCUUCUUCGGCCGAUAUUGACCACAGUGUCAUGUGACAGGAGCCUUGAACGAAUGGUUACCUCGACAAACACACAUCUUUACACAGGUUGCAGGUUUCCGCAACUCACAGCUUACCAAAGACUUUUUCACCAUUUGCUUAUUGUCAAACAGUUACUACUUUUAUUUAUUUGGCUAUCUUUUGCUAAUUUGUGGCUGUUUACAGUUCACUACGACAUAUUCUGUCCUCAAUAUUUGCCACUUUGUCCCACAUUUUGCGAACGCUGUUUAAAGUAUAUGUUCGUGAAUACACACGAUAAGACAUUGAAUGUGUGGUGUAUGUUGGAUUCGGGAAAUUUUACAAUAUUCAAAAGUAUAAAUCGUGUGUGUUUUAAACUUCAAGGUGUGCAUGACAUCUAUGACAAUUACAUAGUAACAAAAAACGUAGGAUUAAAUUUGAUAAUGUCAUCAUUCGUUUUAAAUUAUAUUCA